CCUAUCAAACCCUAUCAAACCCUAUCAAAAACCUGCCAAACCCAAUCAAAUCCUAUCAAACUCUAUCAAACCCUAUCAAAAGCUAUCAAACCCCAUCAAACUCCAUCAAAAACCUACCAAACCCUAUCAAACCCUAUCACACCUUAUCAAACACUAUCAAAACCCUAUCAAAUCCUAUCAAACUGUAUCACACCCUAUCAAACGCUAUCAUAACCCUAUCAAACCCUAUCAAACCUUAUCAAGCGCUAUCUAACCCUAUCAAAAUCCCAUCACACUCUAUCAAACCCUAUCAGAAACCCCAUCACACCCUAUCAAACGCUAUCAAACCCCUAUCAAACGCUCCCCCCACUCUUUCCCAGUCUCGCUGACGCUGGACGAGAGCUGCACCCACCCGGCCCUGCUGAUCCGGGGCCGAUCCUGGAUCUGCCCCAAUCCCGGAUCCCGAAUCCCCGGCCCCGAUCCCGGAUCCCAAAUCCCCGGCCCCGAUCCCGGAUCCCAAAUCCCCGGAUCCCAAAUCCCCGGCCCCGAUCCCGGAUCCCAAAUCCCUGGCUCCGAUCCCGGAUCCCAAAUCCCUGGCUCCGAUCCCAGAUCCCAAAUCCCUGGCUCCGAUCCCGGAUCCCGGCCCCGCCUCGGGGCCCUGGCCGUGACUCGGGAGGGAUUUUCCCACGGGAAGCAUUACUGGGAAGUGGAGCUGGGAGACGGCAGCGAUUGGGAGCUGGGCGUGCUCCCGCAGGAGGUCCGGGAUUCCAUCCGGGAUUCCAUCCGGGAUUCCAUCCGGGAUUCCCUGAGGGAUUCCCUGAGGGAUUCCCUGCAGGAUCCCACCCCAGAUUCCACCCUGGAUUCCAUCCCGGAUUCCCUGCAGGAUGAUUCCCUGAGGGAUGAUUCCCUGCGAGAUUCCAUUCGGGAUCCCAUCCCGGGUUCUCUGCAGGAUCCCCUGCGGAAUUCCACCCCAAAUCCCAUCCCGGAUCCCAUCCCGAAUUCCAUUCCAAAUUCCAUCCCGAAAUCGAUCCCAGAUCCCGUCCCCAAUUCCCUGCAGGAUCCCAUCCAAAAUUCCAUCCUGGACCCCAUCCGGGAUCCCAUCCCGAAUUCCAUCCCCAGUUCCCUGCGGGAUCCCAUCCCAGAUUCCAUCCUGGAUCCCAUCCUGGAUUCCAUCCUGGAUCCCAUCCCGAAUUCCAUCCCUGAUUCCCUGCAAGAUUCCAUUCAGGAUCCCAUCCCAAAUUCCAUCCUGAAUCCCAUCCCGGACCCCAUCUUGGAUCCUACCCCGAAUUCCCACCGGUACCAUCCCAUCCCCUCCAUCCCAAAUCCCACCCUGAAUUCCCACCAGGAUCACCCCAUCCCCUCCAUCCCGGACCCCACCCCGAAUUCCCACCGCUACCACCCCCUCCCCUCCAUCCCGGACCCCACCCCAGGUUCCCACCGCUGCCCGUCCCUGGCGCGCUCCCGGGGCGAGCUCCGGCUCCGGGGCGCGCUCCUGCAGCGCAGCCCGGGGCGCUGCCGCGUGCUCGGGGUGCUGCUGGAUCUCGAGCGGCGCCGCCUCCGCUUCUUCGACGCCGAGGAGCGGCGGCUGCUGGGAUCGGCGGCCCUGGAAAGCCCAAACGGGAAUCUGUUCCCGUUCUUCAGGCCGGGAGCGGGCGGGAGCGGGCUGGGGAUCCGCCCCGUCAGGGCUUGAAACAGGGCUGGGGGAUAUUCGGGUGUGAAACUUAAAUUUUCAGGUCUUUAUUGUAAUUAUUCUCAUUUUAAAAUUCUGAUUGUCCCCUAGAAUAAACGCUUGUAAAUAUUCA
This is a long non-coding RNA of Junco hyemalis (dark-eyed junco), 1781 nucleotides long. NCBI's taxonomy places the organism in Eukaryota, Metazoa, Chordata, Aves, Passeriformes, Passerellidae. The record is from Ensembl.